GGCGAACGGGUGAGUAACACGUGAGUAACCUGCCCUUAACUCUGGGAUAAGCCUGGGAAACUGGGUCUAAUACCGGAUAUGACUCCUCAUCGCAUGGUGGGGGGUGGAAAGCUUUUUGUGGUUUUGGAUGGACUCGCGGCCUAUCAGCUUGUUGGUGAGGUAAUGGCUCACCAAGGCGACGACGGGUAGCCGGCCUGAGAGGGUGACCGGCCACACUGGGACUGAGACACGGCCCAGACUCCUACGGGAGGCAGCAGUGGGGAAUAUUGCACAAUGGGCGCAAGCCUGAUGCAGCGACGCCGCGUGAGGGAUGACGGCCUUCGGGUUGUAAACCUCUUUCAGUAGGGAAGAAGCGAAAGUGACGGUACCUGCAGAAGAAGCGCCGGCUAACUACGUGCCAGCAGCCGCGGUAAUACGUAGGGCGCAAGCGUUAUCCGGAAUUAUUGGGCGUAAAGAGCUCGUAGGCGGUUUGUCGCGUCUGCCGUGAAAGUCCGGGGCUCAACUCCGGAUCUGCGGUGGGUACGGGCAGACUAGAGUGAUGUAGGGGA
Molecule: ribosomal RNA, 548 nt
Filed under: Arthrobacter sp. bw1
Lineage: Bacteria; Bacillati; Actinomycetota; Actinomycetes; Micrococcales; Micrococcaceae
Description: bacterial SSU rRNA
Rfam family: Bacterial small subunit ribosomal RNA
Source: RNAcentral